GAUGAUCAACAGGUUAUUCAACUCACAAUCUAAAUUAUUGGAUUAAGAUAGUUUCUUUACAACCUCUGUAAUUGUGCAACAUGGUUUCUUUUACUCUUCCAGAACUUCUUGGAGAAAUAGUUAUCAGUAUCGCAGGCUUCCCCUAUCAUUUCCUUCAUUUUAUAUCUGUUUCCUUUUGCAAAGUUGUCAUAUAACACCAUCUCUUAGGCCUUCCAAGGCCUUCAUGAAGAUGCUGCUACUGAUGGUAUUGAGGCUUUUAUAUUUUUGGUUGUGGAAUGUAUUAAUUAUUAUUUUGAGUAUAAUAAUUAUUAUGAACUAGAAAGAGGAACAGAUCCAGGAAUAUUAGAGAGAGUUAAUUCCACCAUCUAUUGCCUGUUUCCUCCAAUCCUUUCCUUGAUGUAGAAAGUCUUUUACGUUUUAGGUGUAUCAAAUUCUAAUAAAUACAAUGAUUCAUGUUCCAUUCAGGGGCAUUUCCAUAACAAGAAGCUAAGUUUGCUACUAUAUAUAUAUUUUGGCUUUUUCUCUGGAAUUACUUAAAAGUCUUGGAAUAUGUUCAUAACCAUGUGGCUUCGUAGCUGCUUGGUGUGGAUUUAAACUGUUAUUUGUGUAUUUGUUAUACAUAUACUGCUAUUUUGUACCUUUUCUAUUGUUUUCCUCUUUGAACUUCCAUAAAUAUUUUCUCAAUCAGCAUUGAAUUUGAAGUCUCUCCUCUUGUUAUUUGGAUGUCUCUGUGGUAUAAGUUGAGCCAUUGACUUUCUAGAAUGCCUAAAUAUAUCUGUUUUUUGGGGAUUUUGGUUUUGCAUCAUUGUGAGAACUAGACAUACAUGUAUGAUUUCAUUAUUGUUUUUAUCUGAAUGUAAUAGGCGUAGCUCAUUAAUUUGGUCCAGCAUUGUAGCUUGUGGUCAAAUCUCGACUCAAUAAGUUGUAAAUGGGUACAAGUUGCACCAACUUGAUUUUUCAUUGAUCCUGUAUUCUGAAUUCAAGUGUUUGCUUGUUCUGGUUGUUUAUGAAAGAGUCUGACUAGAUGAGAUUUUUCAUAUGGUUUGGUUAUGAUAGACUACAUUGAUAUCUGUACAGGCUAUUGCAGCAAUGAUGCG
Molecule: unclassified non-coding RNA, 1097 nt
Filed under: Hevea brasiliensis (rubber tree)
Lineage: Eukaryota; Viridiplantae; Streptophyta; Magnoliopsida; Malpighiales; Euphorbiaceae
Source: RNAcentral